Molecule: ribosomal RNA, 468 nt
Filed under: uncultured bacterium
Lineage: Bacteria
Description: partial 16S ribosomal RNA
Rfam family: Bacterial small subunit ribosomal RNA
Source: RNAcentral
GACGAACGCUGGCGGCGUGCUUAACACAUGCAAGUCGAACGGAAAGGCCCUGCUUUUGUGGGGUGCUCGAGUGGCGAACGGGUGAGUAACACGUGAGUAACCUGCCCUUGACUUUGGGAUAACUUCAGGAAACUGGGGCUAAUACCGGAUAGGAGCUCCUGCUGCAUGGUGGGGGUUGGAAAGUUUCGGCGGUUGGGGAUGGACUCGCGGCUUAUCAGCUUGUUGGUGGGGUAGUGGCUUACCAAGGCUUUGACGGGUAGCCGGCCUGAGAGGGUGACCGGCCACAUUGGGACUGAGAUACGGCCCAGACUCCUACGGGAGGCAGCAGUGGGGAAUAUUGCACAAUGGGCGGAAGCCUAAUGCAGCAACGCCGCGUGCGGGAUGACGGCCUUCGGGUUGUAAACCGCUUUCGCCUGUGACGAAGCGUGAGUGACGGUAAUGGGUAAAGAAGCACCGGCUAACUUCGUG